RNAcentral lists this ribosomal RNA (667 nucleotides) under uncultured bacterium. RNAcentral describes it as "bacterial SSU rRNA". It matches the Rfam family "Bacterial small subunit ribosomal RNA", at positions 1 to 662 of the family's 1533-position model. The record is from RNAcentral.
AGAUUAGAGUUUGAUCCUGGCUCAGGACGAACGCUGGCGGCGGGCUUAACACAUGCAAGUCGAAGGAGAAGGUAGAAGCUUGCUUUUACUGGAGACUGGCGGACGGGUGAGUAACGCGUAGAUAACCUGCCUAUAGCUGGGGGAUAACACUGCGAAAGUGGUGCUAAUACCGCAUAAUGCAGCGGGGCCGCAUGGCCAUAGUUGUUAAAGGUUUCGACCGGCUAUAGAUGGGUCUGCGUGCUAUUAGUUAGUUGGUAGGGUAACGGCCUACCAAGGCGAUGAUAGCUAGGGGGUCUGAGAGGAUGAUCCCCCACACUGGGACUGAGACACGGCCCAGACUCCUACGGGAGGCAGCAGUGAGGAAUCUUGCGCAAUGGGCGAAAGCCUGACGCAGCCACGCCGCGUGCCGGAUGAAGGCCCUAUGGGUUGUAAACGGCUUUUACUAGGGAAGAACGAGAGGGUUUCGAUCUUCUGUGACGGUACCUAGUGAAUAAGCACCGGCUAACUCCGUGCCAGCAGCCGCGGUAAUACGGAGGGUGCAAGCGUUGUCCGGAAUCAUUGGGUGUAAAGGGUACGUAGGCGGGAGCCUAAGUCUGGGGUGAAAUCUUGCCGCUUAACGGUAAAAUGGCCCUGGAUACUGGGUUUCUUGAGUGCAGAAGAGGCAGGU